Molecule: long non-coding RNA, 292 nt
Organism: Homo sapiens (human)
Lineage: Eukaryota; Metazoa; Chordata; Mammalia; Primates; Hominidae
Gene: VSIG10L-AS1
Product: VSIG10L antisense RNA 1
Source: Ensembl
CUUGGGCUGAACCGACAGCUGGGGGACCCCACAGCACCGUGACUUGCCCAAAGCCUGGCAGAGCAGAGCAGCCCCUGCCGCCUGCACGCCGGACGCCAGGGCCCACUUACCAUACACACCCACCGUGAACUCCUGGGAGGUUUGAUGGAGGGAACUUCCACACCCAGCCCCUGGGAAGAGCUCUUUGAGUCUGAAGAGAAGGCAGAGGAGAAGUUGGUUUGCUGAAGUCCAGAAGAGGCUCUGAGGGACACUCCCUCAUGGAAUCCAGCCGCCACACUGCGAGGAUCAGCAG